Molecule: long non-coding RNA, 200 nt
Filed under: Peromyscus maniculatus bairdii (prairie deer mouse)
Lineage: Eukaryota; Metazoa; Chordata; Mammalia; Rodentia; Cricetidae
Description: Six3os1 conserved region 6 (ENSPEMG00000004350.2)
Rfam family: Six3os1 conserved region 6
Source: RNAcentral
AAGCAGCGUAUUGCUUCCGGCCUGAGCUGGAGAAGCGCUGGCGACCGUGUGGCCAGGAGGUGGGCUCAGAGGGCUGCGCACAACCCUCUUCUGCCGAGAGGCUCUCGGACAGUCGGGGCUGCAGCAGGCCCGGGCCGGGUAGGGGCGCACUCAGAACUGUGCGCCUUGCCUGCGCCCUCCUCCCGGCUUAGCGCUCGAAA